GGAGAAGCUUGCUUCUCGCUGACGAGCGGCGGACGGGUGAGUAAUACUUAGGAAUCUACCUAGUAGUGGGGGAUAGCUCGGGGAAACUCGAAUUAAUACCGCAUACGACCUACGGGAGAAAGGGGGCAACUUGUUGCUCUCGCUAUUAGAUGAGCCUAAGUCGGAUUAGCUAGAUGGUGGGGUAAAGGCCUACCAUGGCGACGAUCUGUAGCUGGUCUGAGAGGAUGAUCAGCCACACCGGGACUGAGACACGGCCCGGACUCCUACGGGAGGCAGCAGUGGGGAAUAUUGGACAAUGGGGGCAACCCUGAUCCAGCCAUGCCGCGUGUGUGAAGAAGGCCUUUUGGUUGUAAAGCACUUUAAGCAGUGAAGAAGACUCCAUGGUUAAUACCCAUGGACGAUGACAUUAGCUGCAGAAUAAGCACCGGCUAACUCUGUGCCAGCAGCCGCGGUAAUACAGAGGGUGCAAGCGUUAAUCGGAAUUACUGGGCGUAAAGCGAGCGUAGGUGGCUUGAUAAGUCAGAUGUGAAAGCCCCGGGCUUAACCUGGGAACGGCAUCUGAUACUGUUAGGCUAGAGUAGGUGAGAGGAAGGUAGAAUUCCAGGUGUAGCGGUGAAAUGCGUAGAGAUCUGGAGGAAUACCGAUGGCGAAGGCAGCCUUCUGGCAUCAUACUGACACUGAGGUUCGAAAGCGUGGGUAGCAAACAGGAUUAGAUACCCUGGUAGUCCACGCCGUAAACGAUGUCUACUAGUCGUUGGGUCCCUUGAGGACUUAGUGACGCAGCUAACGCAAUAAGUAGACCGCCUGGGG
This 810-nucleotide ribosomal RNA is filed under the name Psychrobacter sp. IM31TCBS. Its description in RNAcentral is "bacterial SSU rRNA". It matches the Rfam family "Bacterial small subunit ribosomal RNA", at positions 72 to 878 of the family's 1533-position model. Lineage: Bacteria; Pseudomonadati; Pseudomonadota; Gammaproteobacteria; Moraxellales; Moraxellaceae. The record is from RNAcentral.